This 72-nucleotide transfer RNA is filed under the name Cephalonomia gallicola. RNAcentral describes it as "tRNA-Pro". Lineage: Eukaryota; Metazoa; Arthropoda; Insecta; Hymenoptera; Bethylidae. The record is from RNAcentral.
AAAAAAAUAGUUUAUUAAUUAAAAAUAUUAAUUUUGGAGAUUAAAGAUUUUAUAAAAUUUAUAAUUUUUUGA